Molecule: ribosomal RNA, 341 nt
Filed under: Greenomyia mongolica
Lineage: Eukaryota; Metazoa; Arthropoda; Insecta; Diptera; Mycetophilidae
Description: partial 16S ribosomal RNA
Source: RNAcentral
UUUUUUAAUUGAAAGCUUGUAUGAAUGGUUUAACGAGAUAUUUUCUGUCUCAAAAAAAUUUUUAUAGAAAUUAAUUUUUGAAUUAAAAAGUUCAAAUGAAAUUAAAAGACGAGAAGACCCUAUAGAGUUUUAUAUUAUUUAUUUUAUAAAUGUUUUAUAAUUAUUAAUUUUUUAAUUUAAAUAAUAUUUUGUUGGGGUGACAAUAAAAUUUUAUAAACUUUUAUUUUUAUUUAACAAAAAUUUUUGAUUAAUUGAUCCAUUUUUAAUGAUUAUAAGUUUAAAUUACCUUAGGGAUAACAGCGUAAUUUUUUUGUAGAGUUCAUAUCGAUAAAAAUAUUUGC